This 211-nucleotide long non-coding RNA is filed under the name Elaeis guineensis (African oil palm). RNAcentral's name for it is "long non-coding RNA (EGUI_LNC023495)". The record is from RNAcentral. Lineage: Eukaryota; Viridiplantae; Streptophyta; Magnoliopsida; Arecales; Arecaceae.
AUAUGAAUUGUCCAUCAAAAGCCAAACUCUAUGAAUUAUCUCUGUCACAAUCCCUAAUGAUCAUAAACUUAAGUUUUUAAUAUUACUUAUACAUGCAUUAGUCACUUAUGUAAUAGUCUCAAGUAUAUAUUCAUAAUCUAAGCUCUGAUACCAUUCUGUCAUAGUCCCAAAUGAUCAUAAUCUUAAGCUUUGAUACUAUUCUGUCACACCU